Molecule: ribosomal RNA, 253 nt
Filed under: uncultured bacterium
Lineage: Bacteria
Description: partial 16S ribosomal RNA
Rfam family: Bacterial small subunit ribosomal RNA
Source: RNAcentral
UACGGAGGGUGCGAGCGUUAAUCGGAAUUACUGGGCGAAAAGCGCGCGUAGGCGGUUCGAUAAGUCAGAUGUGAAAUCCCCGGGCUCAACCUGGGAAUGGCAUUUGAUACUGUCAGACUGGAGUGUGGUAGAGGGAAGUGGAAUUCCGCAUGUAGCGGUGAAAUGCGUAGAUAUGCGGAGGAACACCAGUGGCGAAAGCGGCUUCCUGGACCAACACUGACGCUGAGGUGCGAAAGCGUGGGGAGCAAACAGG